UACGUAGGGCGCAAGCGUUAUCCGGAAUUAUUGGGCGUAAAGAGCUCGUAGGCGGUUUGUCGCGUCGGGAGUGAAAAUCCAGGGCUUAACUCUGGACUGGCUUCCGAUACGGGCAGACUAGAGGUAUGCAGGGGAGAACGGAAUUCCUGGUGUAGCGGUGAAAUGCGCAGAUAUCAGGAGGAACACCAAUGGCGAAGGCAGCUCGCUGGGACGUGACUGACGCUGAGACGCGAAAGCGUGGGGAGCAAACAGG
RNAcentral lists this ribosomal RNA (253 nucleotides) under uncultured bacterium. RNAcentral's name for it is "partial 16S ribosomal RNA". It matches the Rfam family "Bacterial small subunit ribosomal RNA", at positions 524 to 776 of the family's 1533-position model. The record is from RNAcentral.